This 301-nucleotide ribosomal RNA is filed under the name Lutjanus synagris (lane snapper). RNAcentral describes it as "partial large subunit ribosomal RNA". It matches the Rfam family "Bacterial large subunit ribosomal RNA", at positions 727 to 1090 of the family's 2925-position model. The record is from RNAcentral. Lineage: Eukaryota; Metazoa; Chordata; Actinopteri; Lutjaniformes; Lutjanidae.
GAGCUACUCCAAGUCAGCCUAUUAAUAGGGCAAACCCGUCUCUGUGGCAAAAGAGUGGGAAGAACUUUGAGUAGAGGUGACAGACCUACCGAACUUAGUUAUAGCUGGUUGCCUGAGAAUUGGAUAGAAGUUCAGCCUCCCGGCUUCUUUCUUCACCCCUAGUCUUUACCCCCUUCUGACACAAAGAAACCGAGAGAGUUAGUCAAAGGGGGUACAGCCCCUUUGACACAAGACACAACUUUUUUAGAAGGGUAAAGAUCAUAAUUAACCCAAAGGCAGUAUGUUUUAGUGGGCCUAAAAG